GAGUUUGAUCAUGGCUCAGGAUGAACGCUAGCGGCAGGCUUAACACAUGCAAGUCGAGGGGUAACAGGGUUUAGUUUACUAGACUGCUGACGACCGGCGCACGGGUGAGUAACGCGUAUACAAUUUACCUUAUACAGGAGGAUAGCCUUUAGAAAUGAAGAUUAAUACUCCAUGGUAUUAUGAAGUGGCAUCGCUUUAUAAUUAAAGAUUUAUUGGUAUAAGAUGAGUAUGCGUCCUAUUAGCUAGAUGGUAAGGUAAUGGCUUACCAUGGCGACGAUAGGUAGGGGUCCUGAGAGGGAGAUCCCCCACACUGGUACUGAGACACGGACCAGACUCCUACGGGAGGCAGCAGUGAGGAAUAUUGGGCAAUGGAGGCAACUCUGACCCAGCCAUGCCGCGUGCAGGAAGACUGCCCUAUGGGUUGUAAACUGCUUUUAUAGAGGAAGAAACCUUGGGACGUGUCCCGAGCUGACGGUACUCUACGAAUAAGCACCGGCUAACUCCGUGCCAGCAGCCGCGGUAAUACGGAGGGUGCAAGCGUUAUCCGGAAUCAUUGGGUUUAAAGGGUCCGUAGGCGGGCAAUUAAGUCAGAGGUGAAAUCCCACAGCUCAACUGUGGAACUGCCUUUGAUACUGGUUGUCUUGAGUUACAGUGAAGUAGAUAGAAUGUGUAGUGUAGCGGUGAAAUGCAUAGAUAUUACACAGAAUACCGAUUGCGUAGGCAGUCUACUAACUAUUGACUGACGCUAAUGGACGAAAGCGUGGGGAGCGGACAGGAUUAGAUACCCUGGUAGUCCACGCCGUAAACGAUGGAUACUAGUUGUUAGUUGUACAUUGGUAUGAUUAGUGAUUAAGCGAAAGCAAUAAGUAUCCCACCUGGGGAGUACGGU
RNAcentral lists this ribosomal RNA (889 nucleotides) under uncultured Bacteroidota bacterium. RNAcentral describes it as "bacterial SSU rRNA". It matches the Rfam family "Bacterial small subunit ribosomal RNA", at positions 9 to 886 of the family's 1533-position model. The record is from RNAcentral. Lineage: Bacteria; Pseudomonadati; Bacteroidota.